AAGCGGAUCAAAAAGAAAUUAGAUUUACAAUAGUGUCUGCCAUAAACUAGCUUAUUCUCAUCACUUUCCCCACCAUUUUUCUUGCCCGUUUUGUGUCACCUUUCCCCUGUCCCAGCCUCUUUUGAGGCUGGGUCUCCGCCGUGUUCACCACCGUCGUUUCAUUAUGCUCUAUAACUGAUUGAUUCUAUUUAAAGAGAAGAAGGGAUUGUGCCUUGUUUUUGCAUGCCCUUCAAUCUUGUUUCAUUGAAUUCGAUUUAUUGAUUCUUUUAUUCUUUUCUUUUCUUAAGCCAAAGCGCGUAAAGCUAGCGAUUUUCAGCAAGAUCGGGAGAAAAUCUUCAUUACCUCUAGACCUACCAUUUGUUAAUAACAUGUUUUUUGAACUUGACAGCUCUGGCACCUCCGUCGCCGCCCCCACCACCUCCACCAUGCCAAAGAAUCAAACUUUGAUAGCACGCCAGAUAUUCAUCCAUCCAACGCCGUCUUUACCAUCUCCGUCCUCUUUCUCCUCCUUAGACAAGGGUCGCCCACUUCUUCAACGACACGUCCGCUCCAACUCCACCAACUCCUGCCACAGCGGUCGUUUCGCAGAACUAGCAGGCGGGACGACGGCUGAGUGUGCCGCGAUUUGCUGCUGUUGUCCAUGUGUGUUGGUAAACCUUCUAUACCUCACUAUCUGCAAGGUUCCGGCUGGGCUUUGCCGCCGGGCUCUGAGGAGGAAGCGUAGGAAUCAGCUGAUCAAGCAAGGUUUGCUGCCGGCCAGGACAAACAGGCGCCAUUGCGGGUUCGAUGACACAGACAUACUAAUUCAUCAGUCUCCAAGUAUGCAUGAAUUGGUAGAGUUCAGGUCGGAUUCAGAGGCGUCGGACGAGGAGGAAGAAAUGAUGAAGCUAGAGAAGGAGAUGUGGGAGACAUUUUACAAUACUGGGUUUUGGAGAAGUCCUUCUCAAAAAGAAGCUCCUGGUAUGAGAAGUAAUCUCCACAUAGAUUCACUUAUGGCCAAGGUUAAACAACUAUAGAUAAAGCCUGCAUGUUCAAUUGUUCAUGCCGUUAAUUGCUUACUACUGCUAAAUAUAUAUAUAUACGUAUAAUUUUUUUUUUCUUUCUUCUUCUUUUCUUAAAGAUUUUUAGAGAGAGAGAGAGAGAGAGA
This 1147-nucleotide unclassified non-coding RNA is filed under the name Hevea brasiliensis (rubber tree). The record is from RNAcentral. Lineage: Eukaryota; Viridiplantae; Streptophyta; Magnoliopsida; Malpighiales; Euphorbiaceae.